RNAcentral lists this ribosomal RNA (497 nucleotides) under uncultured bacterium. Its description in RNAcentral is "partial 16S ribosomal RNA". It matches the Rfam family "Bacterial small subunit ribosomal RNA", at positions 28 to 507 of the family's 1533-position model. The record is from RNAcentral.
GAUGAACGCUGGCGGCGUGCCUAAUACAUGCAAGUCGAGCGAACAGACGAGGAGCUUGCUCCUCUGACGUUAGCGGCGGAGGGGUGAGUAACACGUGGAUAACCUACCUAUAAGACUGGGAUAACUUCGGGAAACCGGAGCUAAUACCGGAUAAUAUAUUGAACCGCAUGGUUCAAUAGUGAAAUACGGUUGUGCUGUCACUUAUAGAUGGAUCCGCGCCGCAUUAGCUAGUUGGUAAGGGAACGGCUUAACAAGGCAACGAGGCGUAGCCGACCUGAGAGGGUGAUCGCACACCUGGGCACGGAGACACGGCCAAGACUCUUAGGGGGGGAGGCGGUGGGGAAUCUUCCGCAAUGGGGGAAAGCCGGACGGAGCAACGCGGGGGGAGUGAUGAAGGUCUUCGGAUCGUAAAACUCUGUUAUUAGGGAAGAAGAAAUGUGUAAGUAACUAUGCACGUCUUGACGGUACCUAAUCAGAAAGCCACGGCUAACUACGUG